RNAcentral lists this ribosomal RNA (879 nucleotides) under Polycyrtus sp. BFS-2018. RNAcentral's name for it is "SSU rRNA". It matches the Rfam family "Eukaryotic small subunit ribosomal RNA", at positions 465 to 1313 of the family's 1831-position model. The record is from RNAcentral. Lineage: Eukaryota; Metazoa; Arthropoda; Insecta; Hymenoptera; Ichneumonidae.
GGUAGUGACGAAAAAUAACGAUACGGGACUCAUCCGAGGCCCCGUAAUCGGAAUGAGUACACUUUAAAUCCUUUAACGAGGAUCCAUUGGAGGGCAAGUCUGGWRCCAGCAGCCGCGGUAAUUCCAGCUCCAAUAGCGUAUAUUAAAGUUGUUGCGRUUAAAAAGCUCGUAGUUGAAUCUGUGUGUCACGAUGCUGGUUCACCGCUCGCGGUGUUUAACUAGCAUGCCRUGAGACGUCCUACCGGUGGGCUUAGCUCUUCGGGGCGGUCCAACUAAUAUCCCAUCGCGGUGCUCUUCAUUGAGUGUCGAGGUGGGCCGGUACGUUUACUUUGAACAAAUUAGAGUGCUUAAAGCAGGCUAUCUUCGCCUGAAUACUGUGUGCAUGGAAUAAUGGAAUAGGACCUCGGUUCUAUUUUGUUGGUUUUCGGAACCCCGAGGUAAUGAUUAAUAGGGACAGAUGGGGGCAUUCGUAUUGCGACGUUAGAGGUGAAAUUCUUGGAUCGUCGCAAGACGGACAGAAGCGAAAGCAUUUGCCAAAAAUGUUUUCAUUAAUCAAGAACGAAAGUUAGAGGUUCGAAGGCGAUCAGAUACCGCCCUAGUUCUAACCAUAAACGAUGCCAGCUAGCGAUCCGCCGAAGUUCCUCCGAUGACUCGGCGGGCAGCUUCCGGGAAACCAAAGCUUUUGGGUUCCGGGGGAAGUAUGGUUGCAAAGCUGAAACUUAAAGGAAUUGACGGAAGGGCACCACCAGGAGUGGAGCCUGCGGCUUAAUUUGACUCAACACGGGAAACCUCACCAGGCCCGGACACCGGAAGGAUUGACAGAUUGAUAGCUCUUUCUUGAUUCGGUGGGUGGUGGUGCAUGGCCCGUUCUUAGUUGGU